RNAcentral lists this ribosomal RNA (431 nucleotides) under uncultured bacterium. RNAcentral's name for it is "partial 16S ribosomal RNA". It matches the Rfam family "Bacterial small subunit ribosomal RNA", at positions 29 to 507 of the family's 1533-position model. The record is from RNAcentral.
AGCGAACGCUGGCGGCAGGCUUAACACAUGCAAGUCGAGCGCCCCGCCAGGGGAGCGGCAGACGGGAGAGUAACACGUGGGAACAUACCUUUUGGUUCGGAACAACUUAGGGAAACUUCAGCUAAUACCGGAUAAGCCCUUACGGGGAAAGAUUUAUCGCCGAAAGAUUGGCCCGCGGCUGAUUAGCUAGUUGGUGAGGUAACGGCUCACCAAGGCGACGAUCAGUAGCUGGUCUGAGAGGAUGAUCAGCCUCACUGGGACUGAGACACGGCCCAGACUCCUACGGGAGGCAGCAGUGGGGAAUAUUGGACAAUGGGGGCAACCCUGAUCCAGCCAUGCCGCGUGAGUGAUGAAGGCCUUAGGGUUGUAAAGCUCUUUUGCCCGGGAAGAUAAUGACGGUACCGGGAGAAUAAGCCCCGGCUAACUUCGUG